RNAcentral lists this ribosomal RNA (253 nucleotides) under uncultured bacterium. RNAcentral describes it as "partial 16S ribosomal RNA". It matches the Rfam family "Bacterial small subunit ribosomal RNA", at positions 524 to 776 of the family's 1533-position model. The record is from RNAcentral.
UACAGAGGUCUCAAGCGUUGUUCGGAUUCAUUGGGCGUAAAGGGUGCGUAGGCGGCGCGGUAAGUCGGGUGUGAAAUCUCGGGGCUUAACUCCGAAACUGCAUUCGAUACUACCGUGCUUGAGGACUGGAGAGGAGACUGGAAUUUACGGUGUAGCGGUGAAAUGCGUAGAGAUCAUGAGGAAGACCAGUGGCGAAGGCGGGUCUCUGGACAGUUCCUGACACUGAGACACGAAGGCCAGGGGAGCAAACGGG